UUCAGAGAAAACAUGUAAUGCUAGGAUGUCUACAUCAGACAGUAGAAAGCUGCUGAAGGAAGACUCCGGGGAUUAUGGAUGAGCUCUGCCUGUAACUUGCAGUGUGGCCUUGGAAUAAUCUUUUCCACUCCCCCAGAGAAACACUUUCAGUGCUUUUGUUUUGAAUUAAAAUAAUAAAUUCAACGUUAUAAAGAAGAGGAUGUUUUUCCCCGUGGAGUCCACCCUGGAUCUAAUCCUAUUUUGUAAAAGCUUAACAUUCAUCAGAACUUGUUUGUGACAUCCCCUCUUCUGAAGCAGCCCAGGACUCAGUCCUGCCACCCCUGUGACUUGGGCAAGCACCAUCUGUCAAGUCCAGGUUGGGCCAGGCUGUCUAAGAGAAGGAGAAGGUAUGAGGGUCCACUGAGUUUGCAGGGGCAACUCCUCCACUAGGCUUCUGCCACUCAUGUGCUGUGCUUCAAAGACACAAUCCCCAGCCUACAGAAGGAUGAGAAUGGGCAGUUACAUCUACAGGCAAAUGAGGCAUAGACUCACAGUUGGAUCCCCUUUUUUCUCUCCCAAAUUCCAAUCUCUCUAAAAAAUACUGAACUUGUAUUCAGAACACCUAACUUCCCAUUUGGACCCUGCUACCACUAACUGUGUGGCCUUCAGUAUGUCACUCAACUUCUGUAUACUUAGUUUCCUCAUACUCAAAAGAGAGCAAUGGACUAAAUUGGGAAUGGCAAAUACAAGACUUGCACAUUAUCAGCUGCCCUGCCCAUGCAAGGGCCAGACAUCACUAAUCAAUUGUAGCACUCCCAGCACUUGAGAAAGCCAUUAUUAAUCGAUUGAGGUCAACACACAAAAUGGUAACUGACAUAUCUGCAUGAAAUGACCUCUAAAGUCUCCUUCAGAUUGAAAUAUCAGAAAGUGGAAUAGGUUGCCAGGGACCAGAAUCUCCUCUACCUAGAAUUAGGAAAGUCCUAUUCGAAGGCAGAGCAAUCGGCAAAAUGAACUUAAAAUUUCUAUGAUCAUUUAGCAACUGAACUCAACUAAGCCAACAUUUAUUAAACAUCUUCUAUGAUCAAAGCUCUCUGCUAGUGAUGCUGGGAUGCAAAGAUAAUGACCACCCUUUAUCUCAAAUAACUAAAAAUUGCAUAGAGGAAGCAGGCAGAAUGGCCUACAUGUAAAUAGCAAUACAUAAGCAACACAUGGGAGCCAAGGUGCUAGAAAUAAUUUUUGGCUGGGUGCGGUGGCUCAUGCCUAUAAUCCCAGCACUUUGGGAGGCCGAGGCGGGCGGAUCACCUGAGGUCAGGAGUUCAAGACCAGCCUGACCAAUACGGUGAAACCCUGUCUCUACUAAAAAUACAAAAAAUGAGCCAGGCAUGGUGGCAGGAACCUGUAAUCCCACCUACUUGAGGCUGAGUCAGGAGAAUCGCUUGAACCCGGGAGGCGGAGGUUACAGUGAGCCGAGAUCGCGCCAUUGCACUCCAGCCUGGGCAACAAGAGCAAAACUCCAUCUAAAUAAAAAAAAAAGAAAC
This 1517-nucleotide long non-coding RNA is filed under the name Homo sapiens (human). RNAcentral's name for it is "HSALNT0024559". The record is from RNAcentral. Lineage: Eukaryota; Metazoa; Chordata; Mammalia; Primates; Hominidae.